CAUGUUCUUUCCGUCCAUCAGCUCACACAGAAACCUCUGUACCCGCUGCUCAAAGUGUGGUCCCCAGACCAGCGGCAUCGGCCUCACCGGGGAGCUUGUCAGAAUGCAAACUCUCAGGCUUUAUCCCGACCUUCAGAAUCAGAGGCUUCAGAAGAUAUUUACACAGCUCCUGCUAUGAUGGACCAGGCAGUCUGCCAGGCUCCUGGGCUAUAACAGACUGGAAAAAGAGAAAUCCUCCUGCCCCCACGGAGCUAGGGUAGAAGAUCUUGAGAAAGCCGUGAUCCUGGGAGCAGACGUCCACAUUCUCCUCUCGUAAUUCAAUAGAUCACCUGGACUAAUAAAGAGAUGAAGACUUUGAAA
Molecule: long non-coding RNA, 360 nt
Filed under: Equus caballus (horse)
Lineage: Eukaryota; Metazoa; Chordata; Mammalia; Perissodactyla; Equidae
Description: lncRNA (ENSECAG00000053404.1)
Source: RNAcentral